RNAcentral lists this ribosomal RNA (262 nucleotides) under uncultured bacterium. RNAcentral describes it as "partial 16S ribosomal RNA". It matches the Rfam family "Bacterial small subunit ribosomal RNA", at positions 793 to 1055 of the family's 1533-position model. The record is from RNAcentral.
GUCCACGCCGUAAACGAUGUCUACUAGCCGUUGGGUGACUUGAUUACCCAGUGGCGCAGCUAACGCAGUAAGUAGACCGCCUGGGGAGUACGGCCGCAAGGUUAAAACUCAAAUGAAUUGACGGGGCCGGCACAAGCGGUGGAGCAUGUGGUUUAAUUCGAUGCAACGCGAAGAACCUUACCAGGUCUUGACAUCCUGCGAAGUUACCAGAGAUGGUUUCGUGCCUUCGGUAGCGCAGUGACAGGUGCUGCAUGGCUGUCGU